UACGGAGGGAGCUAGCGUUGUUCGGAAUUACUGGGCGUAAAGCGCACGUAGGCGGCUUUGUAAGUUAGAGGUGAAAGCCCGGGGCUCAACCCCCGGAAUUGCCUUUAAGACUGCAUCGCUUGAAUCCGGGAGAGGUGAGUGGAAUUCCGAGUGUAGAGGUGAAAAUUCGUAGAUAUUCGGAAGAACACCAGUGGCGAAGGCGGCUCACUGGACCGGUAUUGACGCUGAGGUGCGAAAGCGUGGGGAGCAAACAGG
This 255-nucleotide ribosomal RNA is filed under the name uncultured bacterium. RNAcentral describes it as "partial 16S ribosomal RNA". It matches the Rfam family "Bacterial small subunit ribosomal RNA", at positions 524 to 776 of the family's 1533-position model. The record is from RNAcentral.